Molecule: ribosomal RNA, 492 nt
Filed under: uncultured bacterium
Lineage: Bacteria
Description: partial 16S ribosomal RNA
Rfam family: Bacterial small subunit ribosomal RNA
Source: RNAcentral
GAUGAACGCUAGCGGCAGGCCUAACACAUGCAAGUCGAGCGGGAUCCACUUUCGGGUGGUGAGAGCGGCGCACGGGUGCGUAACGCGUAUGCAACCUACCCUUCGCUACGGGAUAGCCCAGGGAAACCUGGCUUAACACCGCAUAGUAUGCGGCCACAUCAUGGGGGCUGGAUUAAAGGCUACGGCAAAAGAUGGGCAUGCGUCCUAGUAGCUAGAUGGUAAGGUAACGGCUUACCAUGGCUACGAGAGGUAGUGGCCCUGAGAGGGGGAUCCCCCACACUGGUACUGGGACACGUACCAGACUCCUACGGGAGGCAGCAGUGAGGAAUGUUGGACAAUGGGCGGAAGCCUGAGCCAGCCAUGCCGCGUGCAGGAAGACGGCCCUAUGGGUUGUAAACUGCUUUUGUACGGGAAGAAACACCCCCUCGUGAGGGGGCUUGACGGUACCGUAAGAAUAAGGAUCGGCUAACUCCGUGCCAGCCGCCGCCGUAA